ACGCUCGACACCUACGUGAGGCAGCAGUGGGGAAUAUUGCACAAUGGGGGAAACCCUGAUGCAGCGACGCCGCGUGAGCGAAGAAGUAUCUCGGUAUGUAAAGCUCUAUCAGCAGGGAAGAAAAUGACGGUACCUGACUAAGAAGCACCGGCUAAAUACGUGCCAGCAGCCGCGGUAAUCUGAGCGGGCUGGCAAGGC
RNAcentral lists this ribosomal RNA (198 nucleotides) under uncultured bacterium. RNAcentral's name for it is "partial 16S ribosomal RNA". It matches the Rfam family "Bacterial small subunit ribosomal RNA", at positions 328 to 539 of the family's 1533-position model. The record is from RNAcentral.